Pan paniscus (pygmy chimpanzee) is the source of this 269-nucleotide long non-coding RNA. The record is from Ensembl. Lineage: Eukaryota; Metazoa; Chordata; Mammalia; Primates; Hominidae.
GUUCUUCACUCAGAAUAACUAGUUGCCAAAAAAAUUCUAGACAUUAAAGAAGAAGAUGGAUGUAAAUUAUAAUUUUGGGGAUCUCUUGCUUCUCCAAAUUUUAGAGCAGUCUAGAGUAAGAGCUGUUUCCUGGCAGAGGAUAAAGUAUCCAGGUCACAUUGAAGAGACAUGUGAGGACUCCAAUGGAGAACAAUUUGAGAGUGAGAAACCAGGUGAGGUGUUUCUCACUCUAGGAAAGUUAGUGAAUCUACCAUAGCUGGGAGACGAUG